RNAcentral lists this ribosomal RNA (253 nucleotides) under uncultured bacterium. RNAcentral describes it as "partial 16S ribosomal RNA". It matches the Rfam family "Bacterial small subunit ribosomal RNA", at positions 524 to 776 of the family's 1533-position model. The record is from RNAcentral.
UACGUAGGGUGCGAGCGUUAAUCGGAAUUACUGGGCGUAAAGCGUGCGCAGGCGGUUCGUUAAGUCAGUUGUGAAAGCCCCGGGCUCAACCUGGGAAUUGCGGUUGAAACUGGCGAACUAGAAUCUGGCAGAGGGGGGUGGAAUUCCACGUGUAGCAGUGAAAUGCGUAGAGAUGUGGAGGAACACCGAUGGCGAAGGCAGCCCCCUGGGCUGAGAUUGACGCUCAGGCACGAAAGCGUGGGGAGCAAACAGG